This 274-nucleotide ribosomal RNA is filed under the name uncultured bacterium. RNAcentral describes it as "partial 16S ribosomal RNA". It matches the Rfam family "Bacterial small subunit ribosomal RNA", at positions 523 to 796 of the family's 1533-position model. The record is from RNAcentral.
AUACGGAGGGUGCAAGCGUUACUCGGAAUCACUGGGCGUAAAGCGCGCGCAGGCGGCUAUUUAAGUUGGAUGUGAAAGCCUACGGCUCAACCGUAGAACUGCAUCCAAAACUAUUUAGCUAGAGUGUGGGAGAGGAAGAUGGAAUUAGUUGUGUAGGGGUAAAAUCCGUAGAGAUAACUAGGAAUACCAAAAGCGAAGGCAAUCUUCUGGAACACUUCUGACGAUGAGGCGCGAAAGCGUGGGGAGCAAACAGGAUUAGAAACCCUAGUAGUCC